UACGUAGGGGGCGAGCGUUGUCCGGAUUUAUUGGGCGUAAAGCGCGUGUAGGCGGCCAGGUAGGUCCGCUGUGAAAACCCGAGGCUCAACCUCGGGACGUCGGCGGAAACCAUUUGGCUAGAGUCCGGAAGAGGAGAGUGGAAUUCCCGGUGUAGCGGUGAAAUGCGCAGAUAUCGGGAAGAACACCCGUGGCGAAGGCGGCUCUCUGGGACGGUACUGACGCUGAGACGCGAAAGCGUGGGGAGCGAACAGG
Molecule: ribosomal RNA, 253 nt
Filed under: uncultured bacterium
Lineage: Bacteria
Description: partial 16S ribosomal RNA
Rfam family: Bacterial small subunit ribosomal RNA
Source: RNAcentral